Molecule: RNA transcript, 2991 nt
Organism: Xenia sp. Carnegie-2017
Lineage: Eukaryota; Metazoa; Cnidaria; Anthozoa; Malacalcyonacea; Xeniidae
Gene name: ATP-dependent DNA helicase DDX11-like
Exons: 30
Source: RefSeq, a predicted model, not a curated record
CUUAUGAUCAGGUACAAAAGCGUUCGUGUGGUUUAGUUUUAUUAUGGUUUAAUUGCGUUUUCGCGAGAUCGAGUAAUUUAUACUACUCAAUCUUGUGAAGGACUUUUGAAUAAAAUAGUUGUUAUAAAUGGCUUUUGUCAAAAGAGGAGAUGAUCCUUUGAAUGAAAAUCCACACAAGCAGCCUGGUUACUUCUCGUUUCCGUUCACGCCGUACGAUAUCCAAGUGAAGUUCAUGCAAGAUCUUUAUUCCGUUAUUGAAAAUGGUGGAGUAGGAAUAUUUGAAAGCCCGACUGGAACUGGGAAAUCGCUGAGUUUGAUUUGUGGUGCUUUGACCUGGCUAAGAGAUUUUAAUGAAAAAUCUAAAAACAUUAAAGAAACUCAUACUACUGGUGACUCAAUUGAAACAACAGGGGAGCAAGAUAGUUCAGUUCCGUCUUGGGUGCAAGAAAUUGCUUUAAAACGGGAGAGAAAUGUGCUUCUUGAGCAUUCUAAGGCUAAACAAGAAAAAGAAGAGCAGUAUAACGAAAAACUAAAACGCUUGAGAGAACAAAGAUAUAAGAAACAACACAAGAGAAAACUCGAUAGUGACGACAAUAUUAGUAGUAAAGUGCAUCGGCUCCCUCGUGAUGAAAGUGGCGAUGUAAAUGUAGGUAAAGACGAUGACGAUGAAGAUAUUCUGCUUCAAGAAUAUCUCAGUGACAAUAAUAAGGAAGGGGAUGCCAACUGUUGUAGCUCCGAGGAAGAGGAAUUUGAAGAUGCUCAUGUGACUAAGAUAUAUUAUUGCAGUCGUACUCAUUCGCAACUUGAUCAGUUUGUUAAUGAAGUUAAGAAAAGUGGUUUUGGUAGCAGUAUUCGUGUCGUCUCUCUCGGUUCGAGACUGAACUUAUGCGUGAAUCAAGAGGUCAAAAAAUUACGUAAUAUCACACGUGUCAACGAUAAAUGCCUGGAUUUACAGAAAAAAAAGAAAGGAAAAAAGAAACAGGAAUCUCAAAGAAAUAAGAAAUUCAAGUCUGCAAAUGGUUGCCCAUUUUAUGAUUAUCAACGACUCCAACACUACAAGGACUUAAUAUUGAUGGAAGUAAAGGAUGUGGAAGAAUUGAUAUCUGUGGGCGAAGAUGUCGAAGCAUGUCCAUAUUAUGGCAGCCGAUAUGCUGUACCUAAAGCGGAGCUUGUAGUAUUACCCUACAAUAUGCUUCUUCAUCAAGCGUCACGUGAAGCCUGCGGUAUUAAAUUAAAGGGGAAUGUUGUGAUUAUUGACGAAGCUCAUAAUUUGAUUGACACGAUCAGCAGCAUACACAGUGUCGAAAUUUCAGGAUUUCAGAUAUCAAGAGCACAUUCUCAGUUGCUACAAUAUCGGGAUCGAUACAAGUCAAAACUGAAAGCCAAGAAUUUGAUGUAUGUCAAGCAGAUUUUGCAAGUCUUGAGUUGCCUUCUUUCAUGUUUUGAAAAAUCGUCACAAAAGAAUGAUGAUCAAGGCUUUUGUCCCAAACAUUCAGAUGAUGUAAGGUUGCUAAAGAUCAACGAUUUUCUAUUUGCAACCAAGAUGGACAACAUCAACUUAUUCAAAGUAAAACGGUACUGUGAGCGAAGCUUGAUUUCUAAAAAGCUGAACGGCUUCGUUGAUAAAUACAGCACCGCAGUUUGUGCAGAUGGAAAACAUUGUGACAGUGAAUUUGUUCCAAUGUCAUCGCCCCUCCAGAACAUAGAAAACUUUCUGGAGUGUUUGACCAAUGCAGAUAAAGAUGGUCGAAUAGUUAUUGAUAACAAAGGUCUUUUGGGUCGUUCCACCUUGAAGUUUCUUCUUCUCAAUCCUGCCGUUUACUUCAAGAGUGUCGUUAAAGACGCCAGAGCGGUCAUAGUUGCUGGAGGAACCAUGCAACCCGUACACGAAUUCAAGCAGCAAUUACUAUAUGCCUGUUCUGUACCGAUGGAAAACAUCUUUGAAUUUACAUGUGGUCAUAUUAUUCCGAAAGAUAAUUUGCUGGCGAUCGCCCUAAAUAGAGGACCGUCAGGGUUUGAUUUGGAUUUUACGUAUCAAUCGAGGGAUUCAAAAAAUAUGAUAGUGGAAGUGAGUUGUGUGUUGACAAAUAUAUGCCGCAUAGUUCCAUCGGGAUUGGUUUGUUUCUUCCCAUCUUACGACUUUAAAGAAAAGGUUGUUAAGGAGUGGUAUCAAAGUGGAGUUUUCCAAAAGAUUGACGCCAAAAAGAAGAUAUUUUCCGAGCCAAGAAAAGCAGCAGAAGUUGAGCAAACGCUUAAUGAUUAUGGUCGAUUCAUCAAGAAAACUCAAUGCAAAGAGUCAACAUCCGCUCAUAACGGCGCCAUCUUGCUAUGUGUCGUUGGUGGGAAAAUGAGUGAGGGCAUUAACUUUUCAGAUGAUUUAGGAAGGUGCAUCGUUGUAAUUGGCUUGCCAUAUCCGAAUAUCCAUUCACCUGAACUCAAGGAGUACAUUUCCUAUCUCGAUGCAACUUUGGGCAAAAAUGCCGGACAACAACAUUGUGAAAAUGUUUGUAUGAAAGCCGUCAAUCAAUCUGUCGGGCGAGCAAUCCGUCAUAUAAAUGACUAUUCCACGAUACUUUUGCUUGAUCAGCGCUACAGCCGCCCGAGUAUUCAAUCUAAGUUACCUGAUUGGAUUCGUUCACGUUUACAAACGCACACCUCUUUUGGACCAGCCUUUGCUGCAUUGCGUAAGUUCUUCGUUCAACGUUCAACUUGAAAGUCUUUCACGUAAAGAAUGCUGUAUGCUUACGUACAUGGAGAAUCUGAAGAAACAUUGGUGUCACAGGAAACAUCAGUUUAUAAAUUCAACCGUCAUUUCAACAGGAACAUGAGAUGUUGCGGCAGGAAACUGUUUACGUCAUGCUCAGGCUGUACAUUCAGUAAAAAUACGCAAGACUGUUUACAGAACGUAUUAGUGUUGGUUGUAUUAUGUAAAUUGAAACAGAUAUUUUGUUUACGUUCUACAUAUAGUCAAAAUAGUUUCGAAAGAUUUUA